AUUGAACGCUGGCGGCAUGCCUUACACAUGCAAGUCGAACGGCAGCACGGGUGCUUGCACCUGGUGGCGAGUGGCGAACGGGUGAGUAAUACAUCGGAACAUGUCCUGUAGUGGGGGAUAGCCCGGCGAAAGCCGGAUUAAUACCGCAUACGAUCUACGGAUGAAAGCGGGGGACCUUCGGGCCUCGCGCUAUAGGGUUGGCCGAUAGCUGAUUAGCUAGUUGGCGGGGUAAAGGCCUACCAAGGCGACGAUCAGUAGCUGGUCUGAGAGGACGACCAGCCACACUGGGACUGAGACACGGCCCAGACUCCUACGGGAGGCAGCAGUGGGGAAUUUUGGACAAUGGGCGAAAGCCUGAUCCAGCAAUGCCGCGUGUGUGAAGAAGGCCUUCGGGUUGUAAAGCACUUUUGUCCGGAAAGAAAUCCUUGGCUCUAAUACAGUCGGGGGAUGACGGUACCGGAAGAAUAAGCACCGGCUAACUACGUG
RNAcentral lists this ribosomal RNA (486 nucleotides) under uncultured bacterium. RNAcentral's name for it is "partial 16S ribosomal RNA". It matches the Rfam family "Bacterial small subunit ribosomal RNA", at positions 30 to 507 of the family's 1533-position model. The record is from RNAcentral.